GUGGUAAGGCUCGAACACAGAAUAUUCAUCAUGGAGUUCAGCGUGAUCUGUGUUUUCCUUUUUGCUCUUUUGAAAGGUUCACAGUGUGAGGUGCAGCUUGUAGAGACAGGAGGAGGCUUGGUGAAGCCUGGAAAUUCCCUAAAGCUUUCCUGUGCCACCUCAGGAUUCACUUUCAGUACAGCUUGGAUGAACUGGAUCCGCCAGACUCCAGGGAAAAGACUGGAGUGGCUUGCUAAAAUUGAAGACAAAUCUAAUAAUUAUUUUAUAUCAUAUUUGGAGUCUGUGAAAGGAAGAUUCACCAUCUCAAGAGAUGAUUCCAAAAGCAGCGUUUACCUGCAGAUGAACAACUUAAAAGAGGAGGACACUGUCAUUUAUUACUGUACUUAG
Rattus rattus (black rat) is the source of this 387-nucleotide non-coding RNA. The record is from the annotation of a RefSeq genome assembly. NCBI's taxonomy places the organism in Eukaryota, Metazoa, Chordata, Mammalia, Rodentia, Muridae.